This 662-nucleotide ribosomal RNA is filed under the name uncultured Suillus. RNAcentral's name for it is "eukaryotic LSU rRNA". The stretch from base 260 to 414 matches the Rfam family "5.8S ribosomal RNA". Lineage: Eukaryota; Fungi; Basidiomycota; Agaricomycetes; Boletales; Suillaceae. The record is from RNAcentral.
AAGUCGUAACAAGGUUUCCGUAGGUGAACCUGCGGAAGGAUCAUUAAUGAAAAACAUAAUCCGGCGAGGGAAAGGCGGAGAGUUGUAGCUGGCCUUAGGGCAACGUGCACGCUCUCUUCCGGACUUUCGUCGUAUGGGCGUGGGGGGGCGACCCCUCGCGUCUUCACAUACCUCUUCGUGUAGAAAGUCUUGGAAUGUUAUCAUCAUCAUGGAGUCGCGACUUCCAGGAGACGCGGUUCUUUGAGACAAAAGUUAUUACAACUUUCAGCAACGGAUCUCUUGGCUCUCGCAUCGAUGAAGAACGCAGCGAAUCGCGAUAUGUAAUGUGAAUUGCAGAUCUACAGUGAAUCAUCGAAUCUUUGAACGCACCUUGCGCUCCUCGGUGUUCCGAGGAGCAUGCCUGUUUGAGCGUCAGUAAAUUCUCAACCCCUCUCGAUCUUUUUCGAGCGGGCGCUUGGAUGGUGGGGGCUGCCGGAGACCUGGAUUCGUUCAGGACUCGGGCUCCUCUGAAAUGAAUCGGCUUGCGGUCGACUUUUCGACUUUGCACGACAAGGCCUUUGGCGUGAUAAUGAUCGCCGUUCGCCGAAGCGCACGACCGAAUCGUCCCGUGCCUCUAAUGCGUCGACGCCUUUCGGGGCGUCUUCCUCAUCGACGUUGACCUC